RNAcentral lists this ribosomal RNA (476 nucleotides) under Neoaidaea tothii. RNAcentral describes it as "Dipodascopsis tothii partial large subunit ribosomal RNA". It matches the Rfam family "Eukaryotic large subunit ribosomal RNA", at positions 89 to 567 of the family's 3401-position model. The record is from RNAcentral. Lineage: Eukaryota; Fungi; Ascomycota; Lipomycetes; Lipomycetales; Lipomycetaceae.
GCGAGUGAAGCGGCAAAAGCUCAAAUUUGAAAUCUGGCAUUUUUCAAUGUCCGAAUUGUAAUUUGUAGAAGCGACUUUGGUCUUGGUCCUUGCAUAUGUUCCUUGGAAUAGGACAUCAUAGAGGGUGAGAAUCCCGUUCAUGGUGAGGAAUCCUUGGCUUUGUAAAGCGCUUUCGAAGAGUCGAGUUGUUUGGGAAUGCAGCUCUAAGUGGGUGGUAAAUUCCAUCUAAAGCUAAAUAUUGGCGAGAGACCGAUAGCGAACAAGUACAGUGAUGGAAAGAUGAAAAGAAGACCGAAAGGUCAGUGAAAAAGGACGUGAAAUUGUUGAAAGGGAAGCGUUUGAGAUCAGUCUUGGGAUUUAGUGAUCAGUCUUCCUUUUGGUUGGUGCACUCACUAUUUUCCAGGCCAACAUCAGUUUUUGCGGUAGGAUAAUGACUUUGGAAUGUGGCUUCUUCGGAAGUGUUAUAGCCUUUGUUG